AAGAUUUUAAGUUAUAUAAACUAGCAUCCUUCAAAGUUGCCAAUAAAAGACAAUCUUUUAAAUCUUA
Molecule: transfer RNA, 67 nt
Filed under: Laomedia healyi
Lineage: Eukaryota; Metazoa; Arthropoda; Malacostraca; Decapoda; Laomediidae
Description: tRNA-Trp
Source: RNAcentral